Molecule: RNA transcript, 5682 nt
Organism: Petromyzon marinus (sea lamprey)
Lineage: Eukaryota; Metazoa; Chordata; Hyperoartia; Petromyzontiformes; Petromyzontidae
Gene name: KH domain-containing, RNA-binding, signal transduction-associated protein 2-like
Source: RefSeq, a predicted model, not a curated record
AGAGGGAGGCAGGGAGAGAGAGAGGGAGGCAGGGAGAGAGAGAGGGAGGCAGGGAGAGAGAGAGAGGCAAGGAGAGAGAGAGCGACGAGGAGAGAGGACGCGUGCCUCGGAUUGCGCUCGGGGUCUGCAGCGAUAUCAUCACCAUCAACAUCACCAACCAACAUCACCGCCACCACCAUCACCACCACCACUGCCAUCAACGCGACGCGUCCGCUGGGUUUUUAUAUCUGGUCGUGAGCGGGAGUUGCCCGCCUUCCCCUCCGCCCGUCCAUGGCGCAGCUUCCGCAGCUGGAAGCGGAGAGGGAGGCACUCGGGUCCGGCUUCGUGCACGCUGCGCGACUCCUCCAGCGAGCAGAGAUCGACAGGGUUCAGAACGGCGCUGCGGCUGCCGUGGCCGCUGCUGUGACCACCACCGCCACCACCGCCACCACCGCCAUGCCGCCGGUGACGGCGGCACCGACGGGGGACGAAGAUCGACGCUACCGGGACGUCGUCAGCAACCAGAACAUGAAGCUUUGCGAGAAGGUGCUCAUCCCGGUCAAGCAGCACCCCAAGUUCAAUUUCGUGGGGAAGCUGCUGGGACCCCAGGGGAACUCCCUCAAGAGGCUGCAGGCUGAGACCGGCACCAAGAUGUCUAUCCUGGGGAAGGGCUGCAUGAGGGACAAGGCCAAGGAGGAGGAGUUGAGGAGGGGCGGCGAAGCGAAGUACGCUCCCCUGCAGGAACGUCUGCACGUCCUCAUCGAGGUGUUCGCCCCCCCCGGGGACGCGUACGCGCGCAUGGGCCACGCGCUGCAGGAGGUGAAGAAGUUCCUCGUGCCGGACUACAACGACGAGAUCCGCUUGGAGCAGCUGCGGGAGCUGACGUUCCUCAACGGCUCGGCCGAAUCCCCGGCCAUGCCGCCGAGGGCUCGGGGAGGCGCCGCACCCAAGGGGGGCUGCGCCCCCCCUCCCGCCCGGGGGGUCCACCCGGUGCCACCCGCCCUCCCGCCCGCGGCCAGGGGUCUCGGCAAUGCCCCUCGCCUGCGGGCUGCCCUGGUGCCCAGGGGGGCGGCGCUACCUGGGAGGGGGGCAGUGCCGCCCCCUCGCCCUGGCAUUGCCCGGCCUCCCCACCACGGCCGCCCUGCGCCCCGCGUGCCGCCACCCCCGCCGCUGCCGCCCAGAGCUGCCGCAGCACACGUGCCGGACCCCUACGCGGAAUACGCAUACAGCGAUGGCUACGACGCUUCCUACGAGGACUCGGCGUUCGACGGAUACGAGAGCGACUACGCAAGCGGGAGCCAGAGCGCCCUGGACUACUACGAGUACGACACGUGCACCAGGGAGGAGGCCUACCACACUUACGACGAGGAAGACUGGAGCGAGACGGGCAACCGCAUGAAGGCCCAGGCCGUGCGGACGCCUAAGGGGGCCUACCGGGAGCACCCCUACAGCCGCUACUGAUGAUGGCACGGCGUGCCUCGCCGCCGCCGCCGCCGCUGACCGCAGCGCUAAAUCGCAAAAACGUGACCCGCGGGCCGCCGCCAACCCCAGGGGCACGCGCUCGCCCUGUCAGCCGCUCGACUGCCACAGGGAACCCUGUAUACGAAAGCCAAAGACGAGACAGUGGAGAAACAAGGACGGGCUGUGGAGCCGAGUGGACGCGCACGCUCCGGAGGUAUGGAGGGCAGAGUUGAAUGAGAGCACAACAUGUGGCCGGCACCAAUCGCCGUUGGUGCCCUCCCUUCACUUGGUCUAUCGUCUGUACAAAAACGCAUCAUCUCGAUCGGCUCGAGCCUCGCAUAAAUCACGUGAAUUGGGUGUCGCCACCCCCAUUCUGAAUCCCUCCCCUCUCCCCAUCCCCCCGUGAAAACAGACGCUUCCCCGUGCAGCUCACCUCUGCUCGCUGCUUGUUUGUUGAACUUCUUUUGCACCGUACGUAGCCAACCGUGCUAAUCGGAGGUGCGGGGGAAGGACCACAAACUAAACACAAAAAAAGUAUUCCUCAAUAAAUUAUUUUUCAAUCGAGAUUUAAAAGUAUAUAGCUCCAGUGGCUUCCUAAUAUUGGAAGGAACAGCAUUCCUUGUAUCUCCCUCUCAUCAUCACCGCCCUUUCAUAUCCGACAUCACGGAUGUCUGGGCGAAGAGAGUUCCAGACUGGGGACAGAUAAGGAGAAAAAGCAACUUCCUUUUUACGGAAUGUUAACUAGGGGCUUAGAGAGAAGGCCUUAGUUCCACCCGUAUCUCAUUCUCUUGUCACAUCCACACCAUCUCCCGUAUCCCCUUCCAGCGUGCGUUCUCUUUCCCCUAUCACCCCCGGUCACCCCCCCCCCCCCCCCCACUCUGCCCUCUGCGGUGCUCCUCGAUGCGUUCUCGCGUUGCUCUCCGCUGCGACGUUUCGACUGGUGACCGAUAGGCAAAACGUACGUACGUGCACACGGAUGUUGAACUUCUUUCGCACCCGUACAUAAGCCAACCGUGCCAAUCAGCGGCAUGGGUCACUCUGCGCGCGCGCGCUUCAAACGCCGUAACCUCUGCGUCGGUGCUUCAAACGCCGUAACCUCUGCGUCGGUGCUUCAAACGCCGUAACCUCUGCGUCGGUGCUUCAAACGCCGUAACCUCUGCGUCUGCGUCGGUGACGACGGCGCGCGGAGAGGGCUCACUGCACCGCGCACCCGAUCCGGUGUUGUUUUUAACAAACCCAGCUGUGCUGCAGCUUCAAGUCAAUUAACUUCGCCCGAUGCUGCUUGCAAUCAUUAGCGCCCGUGUUGCAGCUGUUUUGCCAAUGUUGGAGAGCGCCGUGUGAAUUCUCUGGGGACGAUGUAAACGUUGUAAACAGGCGAGCGAGCGAGCGAGCGAAAGCGCGUUCGCGUGCCGGUGGGCGCGCGUGAACACGCGGGGUGUAUGUGCGCGCGCGUGAACACGCGGGGUGUUCGUGCGCGCGCGUGAACACCCCGCGAGUUGCCAUUGCUCCGCUCGCGAAUUCUCACCGUGGCGACGCCGCUGGCGCCGCUGGCGAAUCCAACAAUUGCAACGUCCAAUUCGGUCUUAGUAAAAAAAAAAAAGCAGCACUUUUUUUCUGAAUAAUAUGACCGUGGCCUUGAGCCAGGAUCUGCGCCAUCGACUGCCUAAUCAUUGGUGGAGCUCCAAAGCGGCGGAGUCCGCUCUCAAUGACAACAAUGCACGUCUUCAGGAACUGCUGAUGGAUUUUCCUUCGGCACAGAGGCGGCGUGCUGUUAACACGUUCUUGCGCGUAAUUCGUGUCUCUGUUUGCAGAGCAGCGCUCGCCCGUGAGCCUGCGGGAAUAUGCCCGAGAAACUUUCGACUUUUUUUACGGGGUGCAUCCAUCUGUAGCCAUCUCCACAUUCGUCUUCCCUCUCCGUACCCCACCCCUGCCCCUUCCCUCGCCCAACCCCCUCCACCUAAUUUACAUUACCUCUAAUUAUCACGGUUGGCUACGUACGUUGCGAAGUUCAACAUACAUACAUAGCACUGAACUCUACCAGCCCGAUACCGUGUUACUCAUUCGUCCUCACUGUUUUUUUACGAAACUACGAUUUCAUGGAGAUCUCAUCCGAAAACUCUGCAAAUUGUUUAUAAAAGGUCGCCAUGUGCAGCGCCUGGACCGAGAUGAGGCGGUAUAGAGACCAAGAAGACGAUGGGCAGGUGACGUAACAGAAUGGACGGAGUGCAGGUUAACAUUUUCCCAUUCCGAUGACGUACAUGGACAUCAUGAAAACUAAACUGGAAUAAAUGGGUUUUUUUUUAAGAAAAAUCACUUUAUCGGUCCCCUGGGUCCCACAAGGCCAUGCGGGAGGGCGUGUGGCACAGUUUUGGGCGCCAGCUAUCAUAGAGUGCGGUCGUGUCGCUACAGUUCUCUGCGGUGAGCACAAUGCCUUUGAAAACGACGGCGCUACUCCGCCUCUCUAAAUAACAUUAACGCUGAGCCACUUGCGCCUUCCGAGAGUCAGAGGUAAACGCCCCCCCCCCCCCCCCCCCUGCAACUUGUAGACGUCUCAGAACGGGAAAGGGGUUAAUAACACGGCGAGGCUGGCAGCGGACAGAGAGAGGUCGAGCGAGGCCCGACAUACCACCGACCCUCUGAGAGAGGACAGCACUACCCAGUGAACAUGGAGCGUUGGACCAAUGAUGGUCCAACCACACGCCAACGUUGAGCGAAAGUCGCAUGGUUACUGGGUGCCUCGUGUGCACGUGGAACAUUGGGCCAAUGUUGAGCCAACGUUAGUUCAAUGACAUGCCAACGAUGGCCCAACAUUCCGCGUUCACUUGGUACCCAGUAAACACGCAACAUUGGGCCAAAGUUGCGCCAACCGUGUUCCAACGUUGGCCCAACUGUGCAACGAUGAUAGUCUUUGAUUGGCAUGUCACGUGAAGUGGACCAAAGUGUGGGCAUUUUCCACCUCUUCCAAGACAUUUGGCCAGCGUAGAAGAAUUGGCCAAAUACUCUCUCUCUCGAGCUCUGUCUAGUGGAGGUUCUUCCGCCAGCGGUAGCGAGAGCUCGUAAAUUGUAGGGCUGCGCCUUUGCCACCUUAAAGGUGUGGCAGUGCUGGUCGAGUGUGAGAGCCAGAGUCUGGGAUCCUUUGUGACAGGAUCAGCCAGGCUCGGCUCAUGCGGACUCAUUAAAAGCACCGCGCCAACACCAGUUCCACUGCUCAUUGAUAUAUGAAGCGGCAGCUGUAACCUGGGGUGCAGCCAGGAAAUACAACUCUUAUGACCUAGGUUAUUGCGAGUGUGCAGUGUGUGUAUACACUUAUGAACGGCUCCGGUUUGGCAGUGUAGGUCUGACUUCGAAUCAGUUGAGCGGCAUUAUCUUUUCAUCAUCUGCGAAACACUGUGGAAGUUACCUGGUCUAUCUUUCCAUCCGAAGCUCAAGGUCUUCUCGGUCACAGUUGUGCCCUCCCUUCUCAAUCAUUGCGAAAUGUGGAACCCUUUAAAGGAACAUCUACGCCGGUUUAAAGAUGCAUCUGCCAGUCAUCUCAGUCAGUCAACCGAUGGCACCUGAGUUUGUUCCGUGGCCUCCUGCCAGCGAUCCUUUGACACAUUACGUGGCCUCAAGGUGCAUCUAGCCUGGCACAAUGGCGGUUGCUGUUGUUGGCUGUGGGUGCACCGUCCGUAUGAAUGUAUGUAUGAAUGUAUGUAUGAAUGUAUGUAUGAAUGUAUGUGCGUUUGCGAACGUGUGAAUGUGUCGGGCCCACCAAGGGUGCAAACUGUUGUGGGAGGCUUUUAAGAAAUAUUUGUUAAUAUCGUGCGGGUGUCUGGUGUCUGAACACCCACGGUGCAGCUGGCUGGAGCAGAACCCGGCCACCGAGGUGGGGGUGAGAGGGCGGGGGAAACGCCCCCCCCCCCCCGCUUCGCCCUCUCCUCCCCCGGUGUUGGGAGCCGACGUUGUGAAGCGCUAAUUACGACUUAUCCCCGAGUCGAGAGAGAGAGAUGUCGUGGUCGGAAGUGAGAAUGGUGCCGCGCGUCCCUCGUGCGGUAAUUGCAGAAUGUUGCCCUCACGCCCGUGCCAGUCUCUAACCUUCACCGUUCAAUUAACAUUCUUCCCGAACCAAUUUUAACGACCCGCUCAUCUUAUUCCUCGAGUAAAUUGCGUGGGCGCGGGCGCGGGGAGAUGAUAGAGGUGUGUGUGUGUAUGUAUAUGUGCGGGGAGCGGUAGUGUAGCGCUUUGCGCGCUGCGCUACGAACC